This 922-nucleotide long non-coding RNA is filed under the name Mus spicilegus (steppe mouse). RNAcentral describes it as "lncRNA (ENSMSIG00000005330.1)". Lineage: Eukaryota; Metazoa; Chordata; Mammalia; Rodentia; Muridae. The record is from RNAcentral.
GGGGUCAGCCAUUAGCUUCUGUGGGCGUGGCUCCAGAGCAGCCUCUGGCUCAGCAGCACUCAGGCUUGGCCCCGGGGGUCCUGCACCUGUCCUGGUUCUUUGUCCAGCAUGAUUGUACAGUGUGACUCCCAUGCGAGUGAUGGGAACACGGCGUUGAACAGGGUAAGCAGUCCAACUGUGGUGGUCUGAAUGUGCUUGGCCCAUAGAAAGUGGUGCUAUUAGGAGCCGUGGCCUUGUUGGAGGAAGUGUGUCCCUGUGGGGGUGGGCUUCGGAGGUCUCUUCCUAUGCUCAGGCUCCACCCCUUGCAGAAGAGAGCUUCCUCCUAGCUGCCUGAGGAUGCCAGGCUCUCCUGGUUGCCUCGAAUCAUGUAGAACUCUCAGUUCCUUCUCCAGCACCAUGUCUGCCUGCAUGCUGCCAGGCUUCCUGCUAGGAUGAUAAUGGACUAAACCCAGAAGUUUAGUAAGCCAGUCCCCAUCAAAUGUUUGCCUUGGUCAUGGAGUCUCUUCACAGCAAUGGAAACCCCAACUAAGACAUCCAUUCUCAAGAUGUCUCUGUCCAUCGAUAAUGACUGACAAUAGUCUACCCAGGGAUCACCAGGGCAGGAACAGAGAAAUUAGAUACCAGCACGGCACCCAGUCCUUAAGGCAUCUGGAAGACGGAGAGAACCAUAGAGAUGAGAAGAUGAGCAAAGGUGUUUGCUACCAAACCGGAUUUCCUGAGUUUGAUCCUUGAAACACACAUGGUGGAAGGAGAAAAAGGUCUCCCACAAGUUGUCCUUUGACCUCUAUACAUGGGGUAUGCCACACAUGUGCACAUACACUGAAUGGAUAGAUGGUGGAUGGAUGGAUGGAUGGAUGGAUGGAUGGAUGGAUGGAUGGAUGGAUGGAUGGUGGAUGGGUGGGUGGGUUGGUGGGUCAAUGGA